RNAcentral lists this ribosomal RNA (465 nucleotides) under uncultured bacterium. RNAcentral's name for it is "partial 16S ribosomal RNA". It matches the Rfam family "Bacterial small subunit ribosomal RNA", at positions 28 to 507 of the family's 1533-position model. The record is from RNAcentral.
GACGAACGCUGGCGGCGUGCUUAACACAUGCCAGUCGAACGGACAGGCGCGUUUGUUGCUACUCUGGUGGCGGACGGGGGCGGAACACUUGCGUAACCUUCCCCUGCCUUCAGGACAAGUUCAGCAAACUGGGGCUAGUGCUGGUUAGGAAUCCUUUCUUCAUGGGGGGGGUUGGAAAGCUACGGCGGGUUUUGGUGUACUUGCUGGUUAUCAGCUUGUUGGUGGGGUAGUGGAUUACCAAGGCUUUGUCGGGUAGCCGGACUGUGUGGGCGACCGGCCAUACUGGGACUGAGAGGCGGCCGAGACUCCGAAGGGAGGCAGAAGUGGGGAAUAUUGAACAAUGGGCGGAGGGCUGAUGCAGCAACGCCGCGUGCGGGAUGACGGCGUUAGGGUUGAAAACCGUAUGCAGAAGGGGCGAAGCUUGUGGUGACGGUACCUGAAGAGGAAGCACCGGCUAACUACGUG